Molecule: ribosomal RNA, 163 nt
Filed under: uncultured bacterium
Lineage: Bacteria
Description: partial 16S ribosomal RNA
Rfam family: Bacterial small subunit ribosomal RNA
Source: RNAcentral
UGGGGAAUUUUGGACAAUGGGGGGCAACCCUGAUCCAGCCAUUCCGCGUGAGUGAAGAAGGCCUUCGGGUUGUAAAGCUCUUUCGGCAGGAACGAAACGGUGUGGGCCAAUACCCUGCAUCAAUGACGGUACCUGAAGAAGAAGCACCGGCUAACUACGUGCC